RNAcentral lists this ribosomal RNA (253 nucleotides) under uncultured bacterium. RNAcentral's name for it is "partial 16S ribosomal RNA". It matches the Rfam family "Bacterial small subunit ribosomal RNA", at positions 524 to 776 of the family's 1533-position model. The record is from RNAcentral.
UACGUAGGGUGCGAGCGUUAAUCGGAAUUACUGGGCGUAAAGUGUGCGCAGGCGGCCGAGCAAGUCGAGUGCGAAAGCCCCGAGCUUAACUUGGGAAUUGCGCUCGAAACUACUUGGCUGGAGUGUGGCAGAGGAAGGUGGAAUUCCAGGUGUAGCGGUGAAAUGCGUAGAGAUCUGGAGGAACACCGAUGGCGAAGGCAGCCUUCUGGGCCAACACUGACGCUCAUGCACGAAAGCGUGGGGAGCAAACAGG